UGGGACUCUGCCACCCAGCUCCCUGGCCCCUGGGAGAAGCCAUGGCAGAUAUUUGGGAUGAGGCAGCAUGCUGGUCCCUCAGCAGCAUCCUUAUCACGUCAGCUGUGGGGACCUCUGAGGGUCUAUUUGAGGGCAUGAAUAUGGAAAAUUCAGCUCCAGCUCCUCCACCCCACUCCCUGAACAGCACUGCAGAACUGUGCUAAGCUCCUGUGGCUUGGAAAGAACAGAUGCAAG
This 234-nucleotide long non-coding RNA is filed under the name Homo sapiens (human). RNAcentral describes it as "HSALNT0393455". Lineage: Eukaryota; Metazoa; Chordata; Mammalia; Primates; Hominidae. The record is from RNAcentral.